Molecule: ribosomal RNA, 265 nt
Filed under: uncultured archaeon
Lineage: Archaea
Description: partial 16S ribosomal RNA
Rfam family: Archaeal small subunit ribosomal RNA
Source: RNAcentral
AGACGUCUACAUUAGAUACCCGGGUAGUCCCAGCCGUAAACUAUGCGCGUUAGGUGUAUCGGUGACCACGAGUUACCGAGGUGCCGAAGGGAAACCGUGAAACGUGCCGCCUGGGAAGUACGGUCGCAAGGCUGAAACUUAAAGGAAUUGGCGGGGGAGCACCACAACAGGUGGAGCCUGCGGUUUAAUUGGACUCAACGCCGGGAAGCUCACCGGAUAAGACAGCGGAAUGAUUGCCGGGCUGAAGACUCUGCAUGACUAGCUG